This 3420-nucleotide long non-coding RNA is filed under the name Citrus x clementina. RNAcentral describes it as "Citrus clementina (C. clementina) long non-coding RNA (CCLE_LNC001969)". Lineage: Eukaryota; Viridiplantae; Streptophyta; Magnoliopsida; Sapindales; Rutaceae. The record is from RNAcentral.
UAAAAAUAAGGGUAAUAUUGUAAAUUUAUGCUGUCAUGAGGUUUUUUGGCCAUUAUGAAAACAGCAGGGGGGUAAAUAGUAUAUGUUGAUUACUAUAAGGGAGAAAGUAGCAAUCCCCCUAAAGUCAUGCGGUUUAGUAGCAUUAAAAUAUAAAUUUAUUAAAUCGCAAAAUUUAAAAGUGUGUCAGUAUGAAAAAAAAAAAUGAAGGUGCCCGUAGUAUAGAAAGACUAUGUGUAUUCAAAUUUUGAUUUUUCAAUUUUCAAUUAGCAUAAGUGGAUGUAAACACUUAGAGCUUCUCAAAUUUUAUAUCUUAUUUUUCAAACUUUUUUCUUUCAUCUUUUUUUUUUUUCUUUGUGAGUAUUCUUAUCAACAAAUUUUAACAAUACCGAGGAUCAACCGAGAACUGAUGCCUAGAGAAAUUUAUAUCUAUAGUACCACCGCCAAACCUGUUACAUGUCAAGCCUAAACCCAUAAUUAAAAUUGGCAUAUUUGAUUCAUUGACAGUACCAUUCGUUAAUGAAUUAUAAGGUAGGUAAAUAAAGUAAAGAUAAAAAAAUGAAUGAAAAGAAGGAAUCAAUCUUCUGGCGGUUGUCAAUUGCUUGUCCAAGAAACUCCAAACCCUAAUGAUCAGCAAGUAAGAAUAAAACGUGUAGUUUCAACUUUUUGACGAAAAACACUCCAUGUAAGGCCAAAAGAACUAAAAAAAUGUUAUUAUCAUUUUGGUUUCACGUUUAACUUGAUGAUAUUUAUCUAACUUCGGUCAAAGGAAGCUCAAUGGAAAGUGGAUAGUGAUUCUUACCAACAUUUCUGCAAAGAAGAAGCUGCUAAUGAUAGCACAUGCGGCAUCGCAAUAUUAGUCGGGUGGGGUGUUCGAUGUAUCAGAUAUGAAAUCAAAUUUGUCUUGAACUUUUUUUGGUUGAAGCACUUGAAUCAGUCAAUCGUCUGUUGAUAGCAACUUUAAUUAACCUUUUUUUUUUUCAUUUUCUGAGAAUAUAAAGAUUUAUUCAUUUAUUUUUAAUUUUUCGAUCUAUAGGUGAUCAACUUGUUUAUUAUACACAAUCAAAAAUAAUCUGGAGGAUAAAAGCUCUAAUCUCUCUAAAAAUUGAAGAAUACACUCUUUAAAGAAAGAGAAAAAAUAAACUCUCAUAAAAAAAAGAAAAAAAUAAACUCUCAUAAUACACAAAAAAAGUCUCGAAUCUCAACACUAAUCUCAUAUUUUUCAAAAAAAAAAAAUCUCAUGUGAGAUUAAGAGUUACCAUUAGGCUAACUAACAGUUUUGUUGGUAUUCAUCAGUUUUUUAUAUAAUUUUCAUAUGACAGUGAGAAUUUUGACACAUAAAUAAUUCAUUACAUUAUAAAACCGAUUGAAAAUCAGUAGUAAGGAGGCAUGUGCACUAUCUUCUACAAAUCCCAUUACAUAGAGUUUAAAAAAUUUACAAACCUGCAAGGAUAAAUUUAAGAUUAUUCCCCUCAUAAAUUGAUUAUUUUUAAACCAUUUUUUUUUUACUUUGAAUAUCUCAUGUUAUUCUCUCUCUUUUUUUCAAAAGAUGCGGAAAAAUUUGAGAGUGGAUUGAUAAAUCUUUUUCUUUUUUUUAAUUGUCUUCUUUUUAAAAAUGGAAUAAAUUGAGAUUAUUUAAAAAAAUAAUUCCCAAAAAGAGUAAUUUGAAAUUAACCGCGGAGUAUAAAAUAAAACUCCGAAACCCAAAUAUCUGGGGGCACAUGAAGAGAUUUGGGGUCACGGGUUGUACUUUUUCAUGGGGAUCUGAUCAAAUCUGCAUGAAAAUCAUCAUGUUUCGCUAAAUUCCCAGGCUUUUUUAAAUUCACUUUCCAUGAAUUUUGUACAAAAGUUCCAUAAAAAAAUUAUUACAUCAUCACUGUUGAAUUAUGAAUGGUCCAAACUCCAAAAUUAACUUUCUCAGAUGUGUCACUCCUUCUGUGCUGAAUAGCGUCUUCUUGCUCUUGCACAGUUAGUCAAUGGGCUGCUUCCUCUCUCUUGCAUACAUCUUCCCAGUAAUAAUAUAAGAGAAAAGGGCAGCAACUUACUAGGUUACAUUCUGUGUAAUAAACAGCCGGCCUGGAUCGAUCGUUGGAUUUGAUAAUCUGAAAUCUAGCGGAUAAGAUCGAAUUUAACGAAAAAUAGAGUAUAGAUUUCAUUAGACCAAGUUUAUUUCAAACAAAAGGUGGUCAUCCAGAGGCAAAAGUUGAAAAAAAAUAAAGAAUGAAAGUUAACGGGAUAAAUCAGAGUCUAGAUUAUAGAGCGCGUAUCUCCAUCUUUACUUGUCAUGGUGUCUCAAUGUAUACUAAUUUAUAAUUUGGAUUACUAGUAAUGGUAAUGAUUCCAUAGAAUAUCUAAUCAAAUUUCCGUUUUAUUGGUUAAAAAUUUAUUUUCAAUCUCUUGCAUAUGUAGGAUUCGAAAAGAGAAAAAAUUAAUAGGAAUGACAAUGGGAAGAGAUAGAGAUGUCGAUUCUAAUACCCAAUACUAGUGCUCGACUCAUGUUCUUAUACGCUCACUAUUUCCGUCAUAAUUACUUGAGGCAGGCAGAGGUGGAUUCACUAUAGGACUACUGGGGGCUCAAGCCCCCACUGGAAAAAAAAUCUCUAUUUCAUAAAAAUAAAAAUAAAAACUAACAUAUUUCUAAAUAGUCUUGUCAAAUUAUUAGAUAGUCUCAUCAUUUAAAAUUUAAACUAUAAUUUUAUUAAUUACAAAAGUUAUACUUUGACUUAAAAAUCAAAACUCAUAGCGCAAAAUAUUUAUAAUUCCUAAUUAUUGAAUUGUGUGUGCCACAUUUUAACUAGAGAUUGGUCAAUAAUUAGCACGUUUUAAAUUGAGAAUUUGAGCAGGCAUAAUAAUUUUACUGAAAAAAAUAUAUUCUCCAUCUCUAAUUUAAUAUUUUUAUAUUGUAACUCUAUCACUAUCGUCUUGAUCAAAUUUACAUUGAUAUGGUAUCUGGCUACCUCGAACUCACAUUUAAAAGUAUGAGAACAUCAACACUGGAAAAUAACUAAACAAUCCUGUGCAUGUGUAGGGAGAGAGAAAUUUCAUGUAUAAAGUGUUGGUCUAAUUUUAAGAAAAUGUAAAGGCUAAAAAACAGGACUAUUAUUUUUAUAUGUGUGUGUUUUCUUUUUUUGGGGUCCGGUUAUGUUACAGUGGCUGUAAGUAACAUUGUAACAUCAAUGACAUGAUUAAUUAACCCAUAUAACAGUGGCGGUUAAAUAGGCAUGUAAAAUUAUUGAGCUAAUGGUGUGUUGUGGACUGAGAAUGAGAUUUUAAUGUUUACUCACAAAAAUAAAUGAGAAUGAGAAUGUGCUGGAAUGUCAUUAAUGUGUUUACUUGACAACAUAAAUGAAAAUGAGGAAUGAAAAUAAAAAUCAAUUUACCAAAAUAUUCAGAGUAUUAAAGAAUGUAAUUUUCACUAACUAG